RNAcentral lists this transfer RNA (81 nucleotides) under Oceanospirillum multiglobuliferum. It matches the Rfam family "tRNA". From Rfam's summary of the family: Transfer RNA (tRNA) molecules are approximately 80 nucleotides in length. Their secondary structure includes four short double-helical elements and three loops (D, anti-codon, and T loops). Further hydrogen bonds mediate the characteristic L-shaped molecular structure. tRNAs have two regions of fundamental functional importance: the anti-codon, which is responsible for specific mRNA codon recognition, and the 3' end, to which the tRNAs corresponding amino acid is attached (by aminoacyl-tRNA synthetases). tRNAs cope with the degeneracy of the genetic code in two manners: having more than one tRNA (with a specific anti-codon) for a particular amino acid; and 'wobble' base-pairing, i.e. permitting non-standard base-pairing at the 3rd anti-codon position. Lineage: Bacteria; Pseudomonadati; Pseudomonadota; Gammaproteobacteria; Oceanospirillales; Oceanospirillaceae. The record is from Rfam by way of RNAcentral.
GCGGGAGUGGUGAAAUUGGUAGACACGCCAGAUUUAGGUUCUGGUGCCCUAGGUGUGAGAGUUCGAGUCUCUCCUCCCGCA